RNAcentral lists this transfer RNA (76 nucleotides) under Chitinophagaceae bacterium. Its description in RNAcentral is "tRNA-Pro". It matches the Rfam family "tRNA". Rfam says of the family: Transfer RNA (tRNA) molecules are approximately 80 nucleotides in length. Their secondary structure includes four short double-helical elements and three loops (D, anti-codon, and T loops). Lineage: Bacteria; Pseudomonadati; Bacteroidota; Chitinophagia; Chitinophagales; Chitinophagaceae. The record is from RNAcentral.
CGGGGUGUAGCUCAGCUGGUAGAGUACACGUCUGGGGGGCGUGGGGUCGCUGGUUCAAGUCCAGUCACUCCGACAA